Molecule: long non-coding RNA, 887 nt
Organism: Medicago truncatula (barrel medic)
Lineage: Eukaryota; Viridiplantae; Streptophyta; Magnoliopsida; Fabales; Fabaceae
Exons: 2
Source: RefSeq, a predicted model, not a curated record
AUUUUAAUUAUUGUAUAUAGAUUGCAGUGAUGAUGCGUGAUACCUUAUAUAUUUUCUAUUAACCUAGUAUAGCCUAUUAUAUUUGUUUUGAAAGGAUAGUAGACCUAAUUCUAGUUUUCUCUCGUUCCUUUCAUGCGCCGUCAACAGUAUUUGUUUCCACCCUCCUUCAUAUCUUUGAUGGAACUCUUAGAAUUGUAAUCAUAUAUUUGUCUUGUCAUGGUCAAAUAAAUUGUUCAUCGAACCCACACAUACAUCAACCAAGAGACCCCUCCGUUAAACAUAGAAUUAGCAUUCAAUAGUUUUGUCUAAUUUGGAUUCUAGUUAACAUGAGUCUACGGCUGCAUAUUUGUAGACUAACCACCAUGUCUUUGUCACGGCAAUUUCAAGAUGGCACUUCAUUAACAAAAUAGUUUUUGUAUUUUCAAGAUUUCAGUCACCUAGUUGUAGUUUCAAGAAGCAAAUACCAUUCUUGAUUCUUCGAUCCCUCUAAGUGUAAUCUUCAGAAAGCCCAAUGCUUCGGUGAAAAUGGCAUCAAACUUGUUGGCGCUCUAUUGUGUCGUUGCACUGCUUGACAGAAAGGAGAGGUGUGAUGUGUACAUGUCAAACUGUUCGAGUUGUUGGUUUUGUGGAGUUCGUCAUAUUUUUAAAAGCUUCAAUUCAGUUAUAUAGGUUAUGAGUCUUGGAGUCAAGUACAUGCCUUUCGUGAAGAUUGUCUUGUGUCGUCUGUUAUUUUGUGGAAAAGGGAUAUGCUUACUUAUUUCGUUUUGUACAAAAAAAACAUUGACUAUGAUGUAAAAGAAAGUAUUUUUUAAAAGCAAAAGAUUCGAUGUCAAUGUUAUUAUGAUUUUUAAUGAAGUGAAGUCUGAAUUAUGUUUGUUAUGAGUCAA